CGCGGCGCGCCAGCUCCUCCUCCAGCCGCCCUUCCUCCACCCUGUCCCCACCUCCUGGAGGGAGGAGGCGCGGGAGCCCUCCCUGCCCUCUGAGCCCCGCUGUUGGCCGGUCGGCCCCAGAGCGAGGCGCUGCGUCACUUAAGUGCACCCACCUACGGUUACCUACUGUGUGCCAGUCACUUGUGUGGGAUCCUCAAAACCACCCGACAGGCUCCUUCCCUUCCUUCUUUCUACUGCCUGGAAUGUAGAUGAGAUGAAUUACACUCUAGCAGCCACAUCAGACCAUGAGGUGGCCAUGAGGAUGAAACUAUGUGUGAAGGCCGUGAAGCAAAAAGUCAUCUAAGCCCUGCUGACCACCAGACACUUUCUGAGAGGGCAGCACAAGCCCACCUGGACCCAGAAAGGAACAGGAAACAGCUUUCUCCUUGGAUCAAAGUUAGGAACCUGAAGGACAGAGAAAGGUGUGGUUAUACACUCAUCGAAAACCAAAGCAGUGCCCCCCUUCCCCACUUCCUUCAAGGCUGUUCUAGCUGGGGAGGUAUCAUCCCAUCAAUAGAAGAUCUGGCAUAGGCAAAAACUGAUCUCUUACCUACUACCUAAAGAGCACCUCUCGGGCAGCCCUGGUGGCGCAGAGGUUUAGCGCCGCCUUCAGCCCAGGGCAUGAUCCUGGAGACCCUGGAUUGGGUCCCACAUCAGGCUCUCUGCGUGGUGCCUGCUUCUCCCUCUGCCUGUGUCUCUGCCUCUCUUUCUCUCUCUCUGUGUCUCUAUGAAUAAAUAAAUAAAAAACCUUAAAA
Canis lupus familiaris (dog) is the source of this 794-nucleotide long non-coding RNA. RefSeq lists it as uncharacterized. NCBI's taxonomy places the organism in Eukaryota, Metazoa, Chordata, Mammalia, Carnivora, Canidae. The transcript has 4 exons. The record is from RefSeq and is a predicted model, not a curated record.